AGAUACCCUGUUAUUGAAAAAAAUAAAUAUUGAUUUACUAUUUGCUUGGGCACUACGAACACAUGUUUAAAACCCAAAGAACUUGGCGGCACUUUAACCCACUUAGGGGAACUUGUCCUUUAAUUCGAUAAUCCACGACAAUCUUAUUUAUUUUAGAACACUUCAGCUUGUAUACCGUCGUCACAAGUUAACCUUAAAGAGGAUAAAAGUUAACAACAAAGAUUAAGACAAAGGUCUUCUCUCAGGUCAGAUCAAGGUGCAGCUAAUAAAUAAAGACAGAGAUGAGUUACAAUUAACAAAUUUUACAUGGAAUUUUCAGAGAAAAAUGAAAAAGAAACAGGACUUAAAAGUAAUUAAUAAAAACAAAUGUUAAUGAAUAAGGUAAUAAAGUGUGCACAAAUCGCCCGUCACUCUCUG
This 417-nucleotide ribosomal RNA is filed under the name Cellana radians. RNAcentral's name for it is "partial 12S ribosomal RNA". The stretch from base 47 to 417 matches the Rfam family "Bacterial small subunit ribosomal RNA", at positions 874 to 1406 of the family's 1533-position model. Lineage: Eukaryota; Metazoa; Mollusca; Gastropoda; Nacellidae. The record is from RNAcentral.